AUUGAACGCUGGCGGAAUGCUUUACACAUGCAAGUCGAGCGGCAGCGCGGGGCAACCUGGCGGCGAGCGGCGAACGGGUGAGUAAUACAUCGGAACGUGCCCAGACGUGGGGGAUAACUACUCGAAAGAGUGGCUAAUACCGCAUACGAUCUAAGGAUGAAAGCGGGGGAUCGCAAGACCUCGCGCGUUUGGAGCGGCCGAUGGCAGAUUAGGUAGUUGGUGGGGUAAAGGCUUACCAAGCCCGCGAUCUGUAGCUGGUCUGAGAGGAUGAUCAGCCACACUGGGACUGAGACACGGCCCAGACUCCUACGGGAGGCAGCAGUGGGGAAUUUUGGACAAUGGGCGAAAGCCUGAUCCAGCCAUUCCGCGUGCAGGAUGAAGGCCCUCGGGUUGUAAACUGCUUUUGUACAGAACGAAAAAGACUCUUUCUAAUACAGAGAGUCCAUGACGGUACUGUAAGAAUAAGCACCGGCUAACUACGUGCCAGCAGCCGCGGUAAU
This 500-nucleotide ribosomal RNA is filed under the name uncultured bacterium. RNAcentral's name for it is "bacterial SSU rRNA". It matches the Rfam family "Bacterial small subunit ribosomal RNA", at positions 30 to 524 of the family's 1533-position model. The record is from RNAcentral.